This 254-nucleotide ribosomal RNA is filed under the name uncultured bacterium. RNAcentral's name for it is "partial 16S ribosomal RNA". It matches the Rfam family "Bacterial small subunit ribosomal RNA", at positions 1247 to 1500 of the family's 1533-position model. The record is from RNAcentral.
AAGCGAGACGGUGACGUUUAGCAAAUCCCAGAAAUAACGUCCCAGUUCGGAUUGUAGUCUGCAACCCGACUACAUGAAGCUGGAAUCGCUAGUAAUCGCGAAUCAGCAUGCCGCGGUGAAUACGUUCCCGGGCCUUGUACACACCGCCCGUCACACCAUGGGAGUCGGUAACACCCGAAGCCUGUAGUCUAACCGCAAGGAGGACGCAGUCGAAGGUGGGAUUGAUGACUGGGGUGAAGUCGUAACAAGGUAGC